This 500-nucleotide ribosomal RNA is filed under the name uncultured bacterium. RNAcentral describes it as "bacterial SSU rRNA". It matches the Rfam family "Bacterial small subunit ribosomal RNA", at positions 10 to 507 of the family's 1533-position model. The record is from RNAcentral.
AGUUUGAUCCUGGCUCAGGAUGAACGCUAGCGGCAGGCUUAAUACAUGCAAGUCGAGGGGCAGCGCGGUAGCAAUACUGGCGGCGACCGGCGCACGGGUGCGUAACACGUAUGCAACCUACCUUCAACUGGAGGAUAGCCCGGGGAAACUCGGAUUAAUACUCCAUAACACAGGGAUCCCGCAUGGGAAUAUUGUUAAAGCUACGGCGGUUGAAGAUGGACAUGCGUUCGAUUAGCUAGUUGGUGUAGGUAACGGCUCACCAAGGCUACGAUCGAUAGGGGGUCUGAGAGGAUGAUCCCCCACACUGGUACUGAGAUACGGACCAGACUCCUACGGGAGGCAGCAGUAGGGAAUAUUGGUCAAUGGGCGCAAGCCUGAACCAGCCAUGCCGCGUGCAGGAAGAAGGCCCUCUGGGUUGUAAACUGCUUUUGAUAGGGAACAAAUGCCACUUGCGAGUGGAGCUGAGUGUACCUAUAGAAUAAGCACCGGCUAACUCCGUG